This 253-nucleotide ribosomal RNA is filed under the name uncultured bacterium. Its description in RNAcentral is "partial 16S ribosomal RNA". It matches the Rfam family "Bacterial small subunit ribosomal RNA", at positions 524 to 776 of the family's 1533-position model. The record is from RNAcentral.
UACGGAGGGGACUAGCGUUGUUCGGAAUUACUGGGCGUAAAGCGCACGUAGGCGGGUUUGUAAGUCAGGGGUGAAAUCCCGGGGCUCAACCUCGGAACUGCCUUUGAUACUGCAAAUCUCGAGUCCGGAAGAGGUGAGUGGAAUUCCUAGUGUAGAGGUGAAAUUCGUAGAUAUUAGGAAGAACACCAGUGGCGAAGGCGGCUCACUGGUCCGGUACUGACACUGAGGAGCGAAAGCCAGGGGAGCAAACGGG